UGGUGGAGUGAUUUGUCUGGUUUAUUCCGUUAACGAACGAGACCUUAACCUGCUAAAUAGAGCAUUCAACAGUCUGAUAUGGAGUGAAUCGGCGGCGGCACUGAAUCUUCACGGAUUUAGUCUUCUUCCGUGGAUCUUCUGACUCGUUGAAUGAAUCUUCUUAGAGGGACUACUGGCGCCUAAGUCAGUGGAAGUUUGAGGCAAUAACA
This 209-nucleotide ribosomal RNA is filed under the name uncultured eukaryote. Its description in RNAcentral is "partial 18S ribosomal RNA". It matches the Rfam family "Eukaryotic small subunit ribosomal RNA", at positions 1299 to 1458 of the family's 1831-position model. The record is from RNAcentral.